UACGGGGGGGGCAAGCGUUGUUCGGAAUUACUGGGCGUAAAGGGCUCGUAGGCGGCCAACUAAGUCAGACGUGAAAUCCCCAGGCUUAACCUGGGAACUGCGUCUGAUACUGGAUGGCUUGAAUUCGGGAGAGGGAUGCAGAAUUCCAGGUGUAGCGGUGAAAUGCGUAGAUAUCAGGAGGAAUACCGAUGGCGAAGGCAGGUCUCUGGGCUAUAACUGACGCUCAUGCACGAAAGCGUGGGGAGCAAACAGG
RNAcentral lists this ribosomal RNA (253 nucleotides) under uncultured bacterium. RNAcentral's name for it is "partial 16S ribosomal RNA". It matches the Rfam family "Bacterial small subunit ribosomal RNA", at positions 524 to 776 of the family's 1533-position model. The record is from RNAcentral.